CCGCCCCCGCCUCUCCCGCGCGCAGACCCCAGGUGUGGGGGGCGGGGGACGAGGGCGUUAGGGACCCCUAGAGAGGGCGUGGCCGAUGGGACGCGCUCGGAGGUCCCCCGCGCUCCUGGACUCGGGAGGCCGCUCACGAAGACCGAGGGCUGUGUCGUCCGUCCCGGGUGCCACCUUCAGCUGUUCCCGGGGCUUGCCCUCAACACUGACCUCCGUAGCCACACCAGCAGGAGAGAAGGCUGCUGUGGCAGAGAGAGAACAACAUCUGUGGACGUUGUGUGACCCAGGACUGAGUGCGUGCUCUAAGUUGACGAAACGAAUGGUGUGAUUGAAGCAUCUUAAUUUGGCCCAUGAGCCUUUGUGUUCUGUGACCUCUGGUAUAGGCGGCCUGGAAGGAGAGUUAGAAGCUAUCAUUGCCUUCAGAUCCAGAAAGUGGCCCAGGGUUGAGUGGGCUCUCUGAAGUAUCCUACCUGCAGCCGGAUGAUUCUGAGACCAAUGUGGGGCUGGUGAGGAGAAUUCAGGAUAGCAAGUACAUGUAUGUGGACACGAAUGGGAUACAGUGGUCCCAGGGCCAAGCUGCAAGCCCGUUGAGGGCUGAGGGCAGAUAUCAUUACUGUCUCAUCUCUCAGACCUGUCCUGACAAGGGCCAACAUGGUCCUACAAAAUGGAGCCCACUCCUCCUUCUGCUCGCCUCUGCUUACCUCUUCUGGCCUCGUCUCCCCCUCUCCUUUCCGCUGCGGGCAUAUUGACUCAUGGCUCUUCCUGUAUCAUGUGUCCUCCUGCCUACUAUUCCUGAACUGCUCUUCCCCAGAAAUCCACAUGGCUAGUCAAUGAAGUCCGGGUUCUGUCCAAAUCUCACCUUAUCAGAGAAGUCUUUGUGACCAGCAUGGGCUUUGGUCGAUGUGUCCUGUUUCUGUUGUCCCGCUUAACUUUUCCUCACUGGCCUCUCCCCACUGAGGGAGUAUGCACUGGGUUAUUUUCCACUGUCUCUCUCUCAACUGUAAACUCUAUGGAACAGUAUUUUUUCUGUUCUGUCGCUGGCUUUAUCCCCAGGGUCUAGCAUGGUAUCAGUAAAUGUACAGUCAUCACUGAAGUGAUGUCUGCUGACUGACUCAGCCCACGAAAAUAAAGGGUCUGUGGUUAGAGAAAACUAGAUACCAUUCUGGCCCUUGGCUGUCUUGUCCAAUUUGGACUUAGCCCGUGUUCUUCUCUGACCUGUAAUCUGAAGACCUGUAUAUCUUUUCUUAUUUCUCUGGAGUUACCUCCCCAGCCCAAUGGGAAGUGUCCUCUCUUUUCUAGGGAGACCUGAAAUCCAUGACACUACCAGGCAGCAUUUGCAAGAGGCACUUCUGGAUAGGCUGGGUGGCCCAACCCUGACCCAGGUGACCCCUGAGGCCUAGGGCUCAGGCUGGUUGGCCACACUCAGCCUGGGGGGGUGUUCUGGUCGACCCGCCUGCCUUCAUUUGAUUUCACCAUUAAGGUGAAUCCAACAUUCAGAAGUGGAGCCAUUUCACAAGACAGUCAGUAGACCCGGCCACGGUGGGCCUGCAUUCAGGCAUGGCACAGCCCUCGGAGCUGAAAAGCUGGCCCUGGUUCAGCUCAGCUCUCCGAUUUGCCAUGGUCCUCACCACUCAUGCAUAAUUUGUUUUGGUGCCAUCUGAAAUAAAGUCCACACAUGGUAGCUGCUUUCCUCACACGAACCAUGGGAUUUGAGCAAGACUCUUAAAUUCCCGAGACCCCUUCAUCUGCAAGUCAGAGUUCCCAAUGACCCUCUGAGCCCGUGGUGAGGCUUGGGUGGGAAAUUCCUUGGUAAGCAGAAGCACUCUGCCCCUCCCCCAAGUGCUGCUUUGCCACUUCCUCUUCUUUUAGGUCCCCUUCCCAGAUGCCACCCCUUCUGUCCUUGGACGCUGCUGUUUAGCCAGCCCAGGUGGGUCCUUGCUUAGCAGCUAAAUCUGCCUUCCCAGGUGGGGAGAGAUGCAGGCUGCCACUUACUGCUACACCUGCAUCAGUGUGAGGUCUCCAUUCAGGGAGGACGCAUAUGUCGCACUGAUAGCGUGAUGGGAUACAGGAGGGCUCGGAGUCCUAGCAGUGCUUGGCCUCAGAACAAUGAAAAAUGAGAUUUGAGCCGCCAGAUGGGUGAUUGCCACUGAAAAGUCUUCUUUCUUCAGUCCUAAGAUCUUUGUUCUAGAACCAGGUGUCACAGCAACUGCCUGUGAAGUCAGCUGGGUUUGCUCAGUUUUACUAGAAAAAGCUACUUCUUCCCUCCUGGGG
Molecule: long non-coding RNA, 2271 nt
Organism: Canis lupus familiaris (dog)
Lineage: Eukaryota; Metazoa; Chordata; Mammalia; Carnivora; Canidae
Exons: 4
Source: RefSeq, a predicted model, not a curated record